UUAAGAUCUCUUUAUAGGAUCAAUUCUAUAGUGAAAUUGCCGGGGGUUUUUCGCCAAGAUUCUCGGGAAAAUAUUAACACGAUGAGGACUUUCGUGUGAUCCCCCUGAGCGGGAAAAAGGGGCCCUUUCUAUUUGUAAGAGCAUUGUGCCGUUCUGCUCGGGAUACCUUCUAGAGGAGGGUUUCCCCGACUGAGUGGU
Small nucleolar RNA from Penaeus monodon (black tiger shrimp), 198 nucleotides. RefSeq annotates it as small nucleolar RNA U3. The transcript has a single exon. The record is from RefSeq and is a predicted model, not a curated record. Lineage: Eukaryota; Metazoa; Arthropoda; Malacostraca; Decapoda; Penaeidae.